CCGGUCUCAGUUCGGAUCGCAGUCUGCAACUCGACUGCGUGAAGGUGGAGUCGCUAGUAAUCGCGGAUCAGCAACGCCGCGGUGAAUGCGUUCCCGGGCCUUGUACACACCGCCCGUCAAGUCAUGAAAGCGGGCAGCACCCGAAGACGGUGGCCUAACCCUUGUGGGGGGAGCCGUCUAAGGUGAGGCUCGUGAUUGGGACUAAGUCGUAACAAGGUACC
This 221-nucleotide ribosomal RNA is filed under the name uncultured bacterium. Its description in RNAcentral is "partial 16S ribosomal RNA". It matches the Rfam family "Bacterial small subunit ribosomal RNA", at positions 1282 to 1500 of the family's 1533-position model. The record is from RNAcentral.